ACUCAAAUGAAUAGACGGGGACCCGCACAAGUGGUGGAGCAUGUGGUUUAAUUCGAUGAUACGCGAAGAACCUUACCAAGGCUUGACAUCUUCUGCAAAGACUUAGAGAUAAGUUGGAGGUUAACAGAAAGACAGGUGGUGCAUGGUUGUCGUCAGCUCGUGUCGUGAGAUGUUGGGUUAAGUCCCGCAACGAGCGCAACCCUUGAUACUAGUUGCUAAUAUUAAGUUAAGGACUCUAGUAUGACUGCCUAUGUAAGUAGGAGGAAGGUGGGGAUGACGUCAAAUCAUCAUGCCCCUUAUGUCUUGGGCUACACACGUGCUACAAUGGCUGGUACAAAGAGCAGCGAAGUGGUGACACUAAGCGAAUCCCAAAAAGCCAGUCAAAGUUCGGAUUGAAGUCUGCAACUCGACUUCAUGAAGGAGGAAUCACUAGUAAUCGUGGAUCAGAAUGCCACGGUGAAUACGUUCCCGGGUCUUGUACACACCGCCCGU
Molecule: ribosomal RNA, 492 nt
Filed under: uncultured bacterium
Lineage: Bacteria
Description: partial 16S ribosomal RNA
Rfam family: Bacterial small subunit ribosomal RNA
Source: RNAcentral